This is a long non-coding RNA of Apis florea (little honeybee), 941 nucleotides long. NCBI's taxonomy places the organism in Eukaryota, Metazoa, Arthropoda, Insecta, Hymenoptera, Apidae. The record is from RefSeq and is a predicted model, not a curated record.
UUCUGCAACAUAAUUCUCCUCUUUGGUAACGACACUCAACUUUCUCAACGAGCUUGUAAAAAAAAAAUACAAAAAAAAAAAAAAAAUACGUUGAACUAGGACGACAAAAAUAACAAAGCCGAAUCACGAGGAUUAAAUUCCAUUUUCAUGACUGUGCGCCCUGUGCUAUUUAUCAACAGAGGAAAAACGAGGGAAUCGCGGGAGCAGAUGGUGGCGCCACUAUUAAUAAAAAUAAUACAUAACCUGUAUGUGUCGCGAAACAACCUCGUGAUCGUCGUGAACGCGAAAAACAGUGGGGUAUUAACACCAGUUUAUGUAAACGGGAAAGAGACAAGAGAGUUUCGAAAAUAGUCGUUCGCGACCCACCACCGCGUACGCAUUUAGACGGCCGCGCUAAACUUAGAUUGUUUUCUGAACAAACGGGUUAAGAGGGGGCCCGGAGAAGUGUAUGACACGGUGGAAAACGCUUGGAAAGAAACACGUUUAUACGAAGCGGCUCGAUUAACCGGAGGAGGGAUGCGUCUAGGAUGGAGAGAGGUCGUAAGUGGGCAUUGAAACCGAACAAAUGGAAGGUGUUUCUUGGAAUUUCUUGGAUGGACUUAACGGAGAAACCGUGGUGACAUUUUAGCUGGUAUAAAACGAGAUCGUAAUGCUGGAGGAGAGAAUUAAAAAAAAAAAAAAAAGGAAGGAAAGAGAAAAGGAUGUUGUCUGGAAAAGCUGUCUUACGUAUCUUUUAUGUUUUAUAUUGUUCUUACGUUCUUGUUCAUUUUCAGAUAAACGAGAGACAUUAUGGAUGAGACGGGAUGAGAGGAGACGACUCGAUUCGACUCCGUUAUGGAUAAUCUUGAAAUCAGAAUUCGAGGAGGAUGAUAACUUCGAAAUUGAAGAAUCUUGGUCGGGGUAGAUUCAGAAUGGAGGAAAUUUUGUUUGAAAAUGCUUUG